UAGGGAAUCUUCGGCAAUGGACGGAAGUCUGACCGAGCAACGCCGCGUGAGUGAAGAAGGUUUUCGGAUCGUAAAGCUCUGUUGUUAGAGAAGAACGAUGGUAGGAGUGGAAAAUCUACCAAGUGACGGUAACUAACCAGAAAGGGACGGCUAACUACGUGCCAGCAGCCGCGGUAAUACGUAGGGCCCGAGCGUUGUCCGGAACUAUUGGGCUUAAAGCGAGCGCAGGCGGUUCUUUAAGUCUGAAGUUAAAGGCAGUGGCUUAACCAUUGUACGCUUUAGAAACUAGAGGACUUGAGUGGAGAAGGGGAGAGUAGAAUUCCAUGUGUAGCGGUAAAAUGCGUAUAUAUAUGGAGAAACACCGGUGGCGAAAGCGACUCUCUGGUCUGUAACUGACGCUGAGGCUCGAAAGCGUGGGGAGCAAACAGG
RNAcentral lists this ribosomal RNA (429 nucleotides) under Bacillota bacterium. Its description in RNAcentral is "Firmicutes bacterium partial 16S ribosomal RNA". It matches the Rfam family "Bacterial small subunit ribosomal RNA", at positions 355 to 776 of the family's 1533-position model. Lineage: Bacteria; Bacillati; Bacillota. The record is from RNAcentral.